RNAcentral lists this long non-coding RNA (218 nucleotides) under Mytilus galloprovincialis (Mediterranean mussel). Lineage: Eukaryota; Metazoa; Mollusca; Bivalvia; Mytilida; Mytilidae. The record is from RNAcentral.
GCACAAAGUUGACCAGCUUUUAGCACUAUUAAAAGUUGAUAAGCAUAUAUUCAGUCUUGAAAGUUUAGUAACUGGCUAUAAAAUUGAAGAUGAAGAUUAUUUUGAUAUGAACUAUUUAUUAACUAUAAUUUACUUUUCAAUUUAUAAAGCAUAUUACAUGUCUGACAAGAAAGACAAGGUCAUUGAUAUUUUUAAAAUAUUCCAAAAUGAAAUCAGGG